RNAcentral lists this transfer RNA (69 nucleotides) under Pessoaiella absita. RNAcentral's name for it is "tRNA-Lys". The record is from RNAcentral. Lineage: Eukaryota; Metazoa; Arthropoda; Insecta; Psocodea; Philopteridae.
AGUUUAGAAACUUUGAGUUGAAGUAGUAAAUUUUUAAUUUACUUAAGAGAAUUUUUAUCUCCUUAACUA